RNAcentral lists this ribosomal RNA (1000 nucleotides) under uncultured bacterium. RNAcentral's name for it is "bacterial SSU rRNA". It matches the Rfam family "Bacterial small subunit ribosomal RNA", at positions 8 to 1002 of the family's 1533-position model. The record is from RNAcentral.
AGAGUUUGAUCCUGGCUCAGAAUCAACGCUGGCGGCGUGCCUAACACAUGCAAGUCGAACGAGAAAGCGGGGGCAACUCCGUGAGUAAAGUGGCGACCGGGUGAGUAACACGUAGCUAACCUACCCUGAAGUGGGGGAUAACCUGGGGAAACCCGGGCUAAUACCGCAUAACAUCCUGAUGGCGCAAGCCAAUGGGAGCAAAGGCCCGCAAGGGCCGCUGGAGGAGGGGGCUGCGGCCGAUUAGCUAGUUGGUGAGGUAACGGCCCACCAAGGCGAUGAUCGGUAGCCGGCCUGAGAGGGCGCACGGCCACACUGGCACUGACACACGGGCCAGACUCCUACGGGAGGCAGCAGUGGGGAAUUUUGCACAAUGCCCGAAAGGGUGAUGCAGCAACGCCGCGUGAGGGAUGAAGGCCUUCGGGUCGUAAACCUCUUUCGAUCGGGAAAAACGGACGGGUGAAUAGCCCGUUCUGAUGGUACCGGAUGAAGAAGCCCCGGCCAACUACGUGCCAGCAGCCGCGGUAAUACGUAGGGGGCGAGCGUUGUUCGGAAUUACUGGGCGUAAAGGGCGUGUAGGCGGUGCGGUAAGUGGGGCGUGAAAUCCCCGGGCUUAACCCGGGGGGGUCGUUCCAGACUGCCGUGCUAGGGUGCGGGAGAGGGCAGUGGAAUUCCCGGUGUAGCGGUGAAAUGCGUAGAUAUCGGGAGGAACACCUGCGGCGAAGGCGGCUGCCUGGACCGUAACCGACGCUGAGGCGCGAAAGCUAGGGGAGCAAACAGGAUUAGAUACCCCUGGUAGUCCUAGCCCUAAACGUUGAACACUGGGUGUAGCCCCUCACGGGGCUGUGCCGAAGCUAACGCAUUAAGUGUUCCGCCUGGGGAGUACGGUCGCAAGGCUGAACUCAAGGAAUUGACGGGGGCCCGCACAAGCGGUGGAGCAUGUGGUUCAAUUCGACGCAACGCGAAGAACCUUACCUGGACUCGAAAUUUUGUUGACAGUCUC